Brachypodium distachyon (stiff brome) is the source of this 135-nucleotide non-coding RNA. The record is from Rfam. NCBI's taxonomy places the organism in Eukaryota, Viridiplantae, Streptophyta, Magnoliopsida, Poales, Poaceae.
CACAUACUCCCUCCGUCCAACAAAAGAUGUUUCAAGUUUGUCGAAAUUUGAAUGUAUCUAGACAUGAGUUAGUGUAUAGAUGCAUUCAAAUUUAAUCAAAAUUGAGACAUCUUUUGUUGGACAGAGGAAUACUUU